AUGGCCUUCCUACAACCUAAGAAGUGGAUGAACUGGCUCUCUCUCGCUGAAUGGUGGUAUAACACUAGUUACCAUAUAGCUCUGCAAAUUACUCCCUUCCAAGCACUGUAUAGUAGACCUCCAAACAUGAUCUCUGAAGCAGCCCUUUACCAUACUGAACAAGUACAAGAAUUUUCUUCAGUACUCACUGCAGAACAAACAGCAGCUCAGAUCAAGACAAAUCUAUUGAAGGCUCAAACUCGAAUGAAACACUAUGCAGAUAAAAAGAGAUCUGAAAGAACUCUAGAAGUGGGUGACAUGGUGUAUCUCAAGCUCCAGCCUUACAGACACACUACGCUGAGUGUCCAUCGAUGUCUCAAACUCCACUCCAAGUAUUAUGGCCCUUUCCGAAUACAAGAGAAAAUUGUCCUAGUGGCUUACAAACUGCUGUUACCGGAGGACUGCAAAUUGCAUCCCACAUUCCAUGUCAGCCAACUGAAAAAGCACUUGGGGCCACAGGCCAUCCCACACCCCAAACUCCCACUCAUCAAUGCAGACGACACAAUUCUUCUGGAACCUGAGCGGCUCCUAGAGAGAAAACUCAUCCCCAGAACUCAGGGUGAUAUCCAAAUACCAGUGGUGCGCUGGCUCAUCAAAUGGUGUAACAUGGAGGAGAAGGAUGCUACUUGGGAGGAUGCAACGUUUAUCCAAAAGGUUUUCCCUGCAUUUCAGCCCCGAGGACUGGUCUGA
RNAcentral lists this ribosomal RNA (729 nucleotides) under Triticum aestivum (bread wheat). RNAcentral describes it as "partial small subunit ribosomal RNA". Lineage: Eukaryota; Viridiplantae; Streptophyta; Magnoliopsida; Poales; Poaceae. The record is from RNAcentral.